This 253-nucleotide ribosomal RNA is filed under the name uncultured bacterium. RNAcentral describes it as "partial 16S ribosomal RNA". It matches the Rfam family "Bacterial small subunit ribosomal RNA", at positions 524 to 776 of the family's 1533-position model. The record is from RNAcentral.
UACGGAGGGUGCAAGCGUUAUCCGGAUUUAUUGGGUUUAAAGGGUCCGUAGGCGGGCUCAUAAGUCAGUGGUGAAAUCCUGCAGCUCAACUGUAGAACUGCCAUUGAUACUGUGAGCCUUGAAUUUGGUUGAAGUGGGCGGAAUAUGACAUGUAGCGGUGAAAUGCUUAGAUAUGUCAUAGAACACCGAUUGCGAAGGCAGCUCACUAAGCCUGGAUUGACGCUGAUGGACGAAAACGUGGGUAGCGAACAGG